GUGGCCGCCCUGGUCAGUGAAAGCGGGAGAGGAAGAGUUGUAAGCGAUUUCCCACGGGGAGGUGCCCGCAGACCUCUCCUGGACUGGCCAUGCCCACGCCCAGGAGCCCCAGCCCUGCAUCUGCUCCUCGUCCACCUCUUGGCGGAAUGGAAGAAGCAUCAUGCCGACUGAAGUAAUUUACAAACACCUUGCAGGGCAAGAACCGGGUUCCCUGAGGAGCACAGUGAAUGGCUCACAGCCGUGGACAAAGAAGGGACCAGCGAGAGCAAAACAGGACAAGGCAGUGUGCCAGAGCUGGGGUGGGGGAUGUGUGCCACCCGCUGCCCCUGUCACCGGAUCUCAUGUGCCAGCUCCACACAUUUCCAGUGCUCCACCGGCCUUUCGUUCAGCUGCAACACCGUGUCCAGCUGCUGCAGCCCAGCCCGCUCCGCCGGGCCCCCUGCAGGGACAAAGAAAACCCAUUCAGGGACCUCUAAAGCCCAAGACUCCCUCAAAAGACCGGGAGUCCUUCGCUUCCAUGGUGACUUCGGACAAGAACCGCCCUUUUUCUCUCUGUGUCUUUAUCUGUGAAAUGAGGGGCCAAACUGAGUGGCUCUCCAGGUCCUGGAAGGGAGGCACCCUUUGCCCUCACCUCCUCCCUGCCUCCUGCCCCACAAGUGCUGGCUCACCUCUCUGCCCGUCCUUCCCUCCCCAGGGACAGGCUCACACUCUUCAUCCUUUCUUCCCACCUCAUUCAUUAAGUGCCAACUGCAUGCCCAUCCCAGUGCAGGCAUGGGGGACACCUGAUCACUGAGUCGUGGCUUCUGCCCAUAAAGCGCACACUCUGUGAUGAGCCAUCUUUCACCCGUGAAAAGUAAAGAGAAGGAAUGGCUAAUUUUAUGUGCUAAGCAGGCUUACAAUAGGGUAAAAUACCCACUCCAAAUGCAGC
Sciurus carolinensis (gray squirrel) is the source of this 928-nucleotide long non-coding RNA. RefSeq lists it as uncharacterized. Lineage: Eukaryota; Metazoa; Chordata; Mammalia; Rodentia; Sciuridae. The record is from RefSeq and is a predicted model, not a curated record. The transcript is spliced from 3 exons.